This 247-nucleotide ribosomal RNA is filed under the name uncultured bacterium. RNAcentral describes it as "partial 16S ribosomal RNA". It matches the Rfam family "Bacterial small subunit ribosomal RNA", at positions 523 to 769 of the family's 1533-position model. The record is from RNAcentral.
AUACGGAGGAUCCGAGCGUUAUCCGGAUUUAUUGGGUUUAAAGGGUGCGUAGGUUGCCGAUUAAGUCAGCGGUGAAAGUCAGUGGCUCAACCAUUGAAUUGCCGUUGAAACUGGUUGGCUUGAGUACGUACGGGGCAGGCGGAAUGCGUGGUGUAGCGGUGAAAUGCAUAGAUAUCACGCAGAACCCCGAUCGCGAAGGCAGCUUACUAAGCUACAACUGACACUGAAGCACGAAAGCGUGGGGAUC